CCAAAAUAAAUCAUAAAAUAUCAGUUCAUACGAUGUUGAUGGUAUAGUCCACGGUCACAUGACCCUCCUAAGCGCGCCACCAAGCGCUAUUUAUGGUGUGUCCAGGAAGUGCCUCAGUUUGGCCCAUGCGCGGAGGCAACCAGAGGCAGCAGCAGCAGCAGGAAACUGACUGUGAAACAGUGAUUGCACGGGUCAUGCACUCAACAACUGCUUGGUUUUGAGGACAGCAAAUAUCACCAAUAUCAUUAAGAUCAAGGUCAGGGCGGAGGAUCAUCAUUAACUUUAUGAGCCACACCUGGGCCAGGUGUGGUUUCUGAUAUAAAAGCUCACCAUCUUCCCAUGGAGUCCCUUCUUUCUCUGUCUCCCCUUGCAAGUGUAGCUGUUGUUUUGUUUUGUUUGCUGCAGACAUUUCCACACAUCCGUACAUGCUCACAUGACUGAUUACUGACUUCCAUGUUUUUUUUCCCCAUUCUUUAUUGUUAUUUUGUAAAUAAAUAUGCUUAUGUCGGAGCCUAGGACCCGGACUGUGACAAAUGGCAGGGCAACGACAAUGGGUCAUGUCAGUGGCAAGCACUAUGGGACAUGACUUGAUAAGACUUCUCUGCAAACACAGAACUGUGGGGUAUUGGGUACAAGCUGGAAAGCUGAAAAGUCACACUCCAUUAGUGAUCUGUUUCCAACGUUGGUUGUGAGAAUGGCUAUGGCAGUUGAUAAUACAGCAAGCUUUCACCAUUCCACCGCGUUUUAAAGGUUGGUAAGAUAAACAUCACCACAACAUCUACCUCCACUUCUAAAACUACUUGGUUAUAAUACUGGAAAUAAUUUGUUGCUAAAUUGAAACUGAGAAACUGAGUUUGUGGAAUUAAACUAUUUA
This is a long non-coding RNA of Thunnus maccoyii (southern bluefin tuna), 874 nucleotides long. RefSeq lists it as uncharacterized. The transcript has 3 exons. The record is from RefSeq and is a predicted model, not a curated record. NCBI's taxonomy places the organism in Eukaryota, Metazoa, Chordata, Actinopteri, Scombriformes, Scombridae.